GGGGAUUUAGCUCAGUGGUAGAGCACUUGCCUAGCAAGCACAAGGUCUUGGGUUCAGUCCCCA
This 63-nucleotide transfer RNA is filed under the name Rattus norvegicus (Norway rat). It matches the Rfam family "tRNA", at positions 1 to 62 of the family's 71-position model. Rfam says of the family: Transfer RNA (tRNA) molecules are approximately 80 nucleotides in length. Lineage: Eukaryota; Metazoa; Chordata; Mammalia; Rodentia; Muridae. The record is from Rfam by way of RNAcentral.